UCCCUACGGGGCGCAGCAGUGGGGAAUAUUGCACAAUGGGGGGAACCCUGAUGCAGCGACGCCGCGUGAAGGAAGAAGUAUCUCGGUAUGUAAACUUCUAUCAGCAGGGAAGAAAGAGGACGGUACCUGACUAAGAAGCCCCGGCUAACUACGUGCCAGCAGCCGCGGUAAUACGUAGGGGGCAAGCGUUAUCCGGAUUCACUGGGCGUAAAGGGAGCGCAGGCGGCACGGCAAGUCUGAUGUGAAAACCCGGGGCUCAACCCCGGGACUGCAUUGGAAACUGCCGGGCUGGAGUGUCGGAGGGG
This 305-nucleotide ribosomal RNA is filed under the name uncultured bacterium. RNAcentral describes it as "bacterial SSU rRNA". It matches the Rfam family "Bacterial small subunit ribosomal RNA", at positions 335 to 657 of the family's 1533-position model. The record is from RNAcentral.